UACGUAGGGGGCUAGCGUUGUCCGGAUUUAUUGGGCGUAAAGAGCGCGUAGGCGGCCGAGUAAGUCCGACGUGAAAUCUGGGGGCUCAACCUCCAGCGGUCGUUGGAAACUACUCGGCUAGAGUCCGGAAGAGGAGAGUGGAAUUCCUGGUGUAGCGGUGAAAUGCGCAGAUAUCAGGAAGAACACCGAUGGCGAAAGCAGCUCUCUGGGACGGUACUGACGCUGAGGCGCGAAAGCGUGGGGAGCGAACAGG
This 253-nucleotide ribosomal RNA is filed under the name uncultured bacterium. Its description in RNAcentral is "partial 16S ribosomal RNA". It matches the Rfam family "Bacterial small subunit ribosomal RNA", at positions 524 to 776 of the family's 1533-position model. The record is from RNAcentral.